UCCCUGGCCAUCUAGUGGUUAGGACUCAGUGCUUUCAUUGCUGCAGCCCAGGUUCGAUUCCUGGUCUGGGAA
This 72-nucleotide transfer RNA is filed under the name Sus scrofa (pig). It matches the Rfam family "tRNA". From Rfam's summary of the family: Transfer RNA (tRNA) molecules are approximately 80 nucleotides in length. Their secondary structure includes four short double-helical elements and three loops (D, anti-codon, and T loops). The record is from Rfam by way of RNAcentral. Lineage: Eukaryota; Metazoa; Chordata; Mammalia; Artiodactyla; Suidae.